Molecule: ribosomal RNA, 522 nt
Filed under: uncultured bacterium
Lineage: Bacteria
Description: bacterial SSU rRNA
Rfam family: Bacterial small subunit ribosomal RNA
Source: RNAcentral
UGGACGAAAGUCUGACGGAGCAACGCCGCGUGAGUGAUGAAGGCUUUCGGGUCGUAAAACUCUGUUGUUAGGGAAGAACAAGUGCUAGUUGAAUAAGCUGGCACCUUGACGGUACCUAACCAGAAAGCCACGGCUAACUACGUGCCAGCAGCCGCGGUAAUACGUAGGUGGCAAGCGUUAUCCGGAAUUAUUGGGCGUAAAGCGCGCGCAGGUGGUUUCUUAAGUCUGAUGUGAAAGCCCACGGCUCAACCGUGGAGGGUCAUUGGAAACUGGGAGACUUGAGUGCAGAAGAGGAAAGUGGAAUUCCAUGUGUAGCGGUGAAAUGCGUAGAGAUAUGGAGGAACACCAGUGGCGAAGGCGACUUUCUGGUCUGUAACUGACACUGAGGCGCGAAAGCGUGGGGAGCAAACAGGAUUAGAUACCCUGGUAGUCCACGCCGUAAACGAUGAGUGCUAAGUGUUAGAGGGUUUCCGCCCUUUAGUGCUGAAGUUAACGCAUUAAGCACUCCGCCUGGGGAGUACG